UGGGGAAUUUUGGACAAUGGGGGAAACCCUGAUCCAGCCAUCCCGCGUGUGCGAUGAAGGCCUUCGGGUUGUAAAGCACUUUUGGCAGGAAAGAAACGUCGCGGGUUAAUACCCCGCGAAACUGACGGUACCUGCAGAAUAAGCACCGGCUAACUACGUGCCAGCAGCCGCGGUAAUACGUAGGGUGCAAGCGUUAAUCGGAAUUACUGGGCGUAAAGCGUGCGCAGGCGGUUCGGAAAGAAAGAUGUGAAGUCCCAGAGCUUAACUUUGGAACUGCAUUUUUAACUACCGGGCUAGAGUGUGUCAGAGGGAGGUGGAAUUCCGCGUGUAGCAGUGAAAUGCGUAGAUAUGCGGAGGAACACCGAUGGCGAAGGCAGCCUCCUGGGAUAACACUGACGCUCAUGCACGAAAGCGUGGGGAGCAAACAGGAUUAGAUACCCUGGUAGUCCACGCCCUAAACGAUGUCAACUAGCUGUUGGGGCCUUCGGGCCUUGGUAGCGCAGCUAACGCGUGAAGUUGACCGCCUGGGGAGUACGGUCGCAAGAUUAAAACUCAAAUGAAUUGGCGGGG
RNAcentral lists this ribosomal RNA (570 nucleotides) under uncultured bacterium. Its description in RNAcentral is "partial 16S ribosomal RNA". It matches the Rfam family "Bacterial small subunit ribosomal RNA", at positions 355 to 918 of the family's 1533-position model. The record is from RNAcentral.